GUCCAGACUCCUACGGGAGGCAGCAGUGGGGAAUAUUGCACAAUGGGGGAAACCCUGAUGCAGCGACGCCGCGUGAGUGAAGAAGUAUUUCGGUAUGUAAAGCUCUAUCAGCAGGGAAGAAAAUGACGGUACCUGACUAAGAAGCCCCGGCUAACUACGUGCCAGCAGCCGCGGUAAUACGUAGGGGGCAAGCGUUAUCCGGAUUUACUGGGUGUAAAGGGAGCGUAGACGGCAUGGCAAGUCAGAUGUGAAAGCCCGGGGCUCAACCCCGGGACUGCAUUUGAAACUGUCAGGCUGGAGUGCAGGAGAGGUAAGUGGAAUUCCUAGUGUAGCGGUGAAAUGCGUAGAUAUUAGGAGGAACACCAGUGGCGAAGGCGGCUUACUGGACUGUAACUGACGUUGAGGCUCGAAAGCGUGGGGAGCAAACAGGAUUAGAUACCCUCGUAAA
This 448-nucleotide ribosomal RNA is filed under the name uncultured bacterium. Its description in RNAcentral is "bacterial SSU rRNA". It matches the Rfam family "Bacterial small subunit ribosomal RNA", at positions 329 to 794 of the family's 1533-position model. The record is from RNAcentral.